ACGUUGUCUACAGUGUCUGUUAAUAAUAGUUGUUACUUCCUCAGAUGACAUUAUAUAUUGUCACUGGGAAUGUAAUGACUAUUUUCAACAGACCGUAACUGCAAACCG
Bombyx mori (domestic silkworm) is the source of this 108-nucleotide non-coding RNA. Lineage: Eukaryota; Metazoa; Arthropoda; Insecta; Lepidoptera; Bombycidae. The record is from RefSeq and is marked provisional.